This 242-nucleotide long non-coding RNA is filed under the name Solanum tuberosum (potato). RNAcentral describes it as "long non-coding RNA (STUB_LNC006234)". Lineage: Eukaryota; Viridiplantae; Streptophyta; Magnoliopsida; Solanales; Solanaceae. The record is from RNAcentral.
CCCCCUUCCUUUGGAGACCCCUUCUUGCAAGUUAGUAGGUGCCUCCUGACCCUUCCCAUCCACACCUCUAACAACUACCUCAACAAUAAUAUUGUCAACAUUUGUAAUGGGGUUAGGGGAUGGGAGCAUUAAGUUAAUACGUGUAACAGUUUGUCCUGUAGAUACUUCCUGUCUUAUAUUAAUCUGAGUUACCUGUGCAGGACUUUUAUCCUCCUGUACAGGUCUGUUAAUGUUGUCCUGUC